Molecule: long non-coding RNA, 411 nt
Organism: Apis cerana (Asiatic honeybee)
Lineage: Eukaryota; Metazoa; Arthropoda; Insecta; Hymenoptera; Apidae
Source: RefSeq, a predicted model, not a curated record
GUUUCCGUUCUGCGCUUCAGUUUCAUCAGUAUCAUCCGGCGGACUAAACACUAACGAUCGUAUUGCCGCCUGUCGGUCGGAAGGGAAAGUUUUAUACCGUAAUACGUAGAAAUUCACGAAUGACGCGAUCGCGCCAACUAUUCAGGCACGAGAAGGGGAAGGAGGGGGAAGCGGGGCUGCGAUUGUCUUCCCGUUAAAGCCUGGUGGAUUAUACGGUGCAACCGUAUAAUUAAACGCAUGGUUAGAGCACGCAGCAAAUCCAAACCUUUGAACAACGAUGUGUAAACGAUGAAACCAGGAGAUAUUAGUCACAAGAGUUAGAAAUGUUGUUUAUGAAAAUGUCAUGUUAUUAAAUGUUAAAAAAACCUUUUCAUUUUCUAGAGAGAGGGCGAAAUUUAGCCCAUUUCUAAA